UACGAAGGGGGCUAGCGUUGCUCGGAAUUACUGGGCGUAAAGGGAGCGUAGGCGGAUAGUUUAGUCAGAGGUGAAAGCCCAGGGCUCAACCUUGGAAUUGCCUUUGAUACUGGCUAUCUUGAGUACGGAAGAGGUAUGUGGAACUCCGAGUGUAGAGGUGAAAUUCGUAGAUGUUCGGAAGAACACCAGUGGCGAAGGCGACAUACUGGUCCGUUACUGACGCUGAGGCUCGAAAGCGUGGGGAGCAAACAGG
RNAcentral lists this ribosomal RNA (253 nucleotides) under uncultured bacterium. RNAcentral describes it as "partial 16S ribosomal RNA". It matches the Rfam family "Bacterial small subunit ribosomal RNA", at positions 524 to 776 of the family's 1533-position model. The record is from RNAcentral.